RNAcentral lists this ribosomal RNA (564 nucleotides) under Vuilleminia coryli. RNAcentral's name for it is "eukaryotic LSU rRNA". The stretch from base 183 to 336 matches the Rfam family "5.8S ribosomal RNA". The record is from RNAcentral. Lineage: Eukaryota; Fungi; Basidiomycota; Agaricomycetes; Corticiales; Vuilleminiaceae.
CCGUAGGUGAACCUGCGGAAGGAUCAUUAUCGAGUUUGAAAGGGGUUUGCAGCUGACUCUCCGGAGUAUGUGCUCGCCUCGCUCAUCCACUCUACACCUGUGCACUAUCUGUGGGCUUCGGCCUACGUCUCUACACAAACAAUAUGUAUCAGAAUGUAACACCGCGUCUAACGCAAUAAUACAACUUUCAACAACGGAUCUCUUGGCUCUCGCAUCGAUGAAGAACGCAGCGAAAUGCGAUAAGUAAUGUGAAUUGCAGAAUUCAGUGAAUCAUCGAAUCUUUGAACGCACCUUGCGCUCCUUGGUAUUCCGAGGAGCAUGCCUGUUUGAGCGUCGUGAAUCUCUCAACCCACAGAUUGUUUGUUCAGUUUGUGCGGCUUGGACUUGGAGGCAUUGCUGGCGAUGGUCAGCUCCUCUCAAAUGUAUUAGCUGGGCUUAGCUCGGUGGAACGGUUAGUGUGAUAAUUAUCUGCGCUGCCUACUACAUCGGAUCCCGCUUCUAAUCGUCCGCAAGGACAAUUCACUUUGAAUCUGACCUCAAAUCAGGUAGGACUACCCGCUGAAC